This 496-nucleotide ribosomal RNA is filed under the name uncultured bacterium. RNAcentral describes it as "partial 16S ribosomal RNA". It matches the Rfam family "Bacterial small subunit ribosomal RNA", at positions 28 to 507 of the family's 1533-position model. The record is from RNAcentral.
GAUGAACGCUGGCGGCGUGCCUAAUACAUGCCAGUCGAGCGAACGGACGAGAAGCUUGCUUCUCUGAUGUUAGCGGCGGACGGGUGAGUAACACGUGGAUAACCUACCUAUAGACUGGGAUAACUUCGGGAAACCGGAGCUAAUACCGGAUGAUAUUUUGAACCGCAUGGUUCAAAAGUGAAAGACGGUCUUGCUGUCACUUAUAGAUGGAUCCGCGCUGCAUUAGCUAGUUGGUAAGGUAACGGCUUACCAAGGCAACGAUGCAUAGCCGACCUGAGAGGGUGAUCGGCCACACUGGAACUGAGACACGGUCCAGACUCCUACGGGAGGCAGCAGUAGGGAAUCUUCCGCAAUGGGCGAAAGCCUGACGGAGCAACGCCGCGUGAGUGAUGAAGGUCUUCGGAUCGUAAAACUCUGUUAUUAGGGAAGAACAUAUGUGUAAGUAACUGUGCACAUCUUGACGGUACCUAAUCAGAAAGCCACGGCUAACUACGUG